CCGUGACCCACAAGGUCUCAGUGGCACAUGCCGAAAACUUAUUUAUUGUUGGACAAACGUUACACACAAGUGAAAGAGACCAAUUUGAGCAGAGGAUCGAAAAGGAGUUGCGACAACAAGGGAAGUGAAUGAGUGAGCAAUAAAGUGCUUUUUCAAAAAUA
This is a long non-coding RNA of Hippocampus comes (tiger tail seahorse), 161 nucleotides long. RefSeq lists it as uncharacterized. The record is from RefSeq and is a predicted model, not a curated record. The transcript is spliced from 2 exons. Lineage: Eukaryota; Metazoa; Chordata; Actinopteri; Syngnathiformes; Syngnathidae.